This 253-nucleotide ribosomal RNA is filed under the name uncultured bacterium. RNAcentral's name for it is "partial 16S ribosomal RNA". It matches the Rfam family "Bacterial small subunit ribosomal RNA", at positions 524 to 776 of the family's 1533-position model. The record is from RNAcentral.
GACGUAGGCUGCAAGCGUUAUCCGGAAUUAUUGGGCGUAAAGAGUUCGUAGGUGGUUUAUUAAGUUGGAUGUUAAAUCCCUGAGCUUAACUCAGGAUUGGUGUUCAAAACUGGUAGACUAGAGACAGGUAGAGGUAGAUGGAAUUCUGUAUGUAGGGGUAAUAUCCGUAGAUAUACAGAGGAACACCAAAAGCGAAGGCAGUCUACUGGACCUGUUCUGACACUCAAGAACGAAAGCGUGGGGAGCAAACGGG